Molecule: transfer RNA, 75 nt
Filed under: Gammaproteobacteria bacterium
Lineage: Bacteria; Pseudomonadati; Pseudomonadota; Gammaproteobacteria
Also listed under: 3 other names
Description: tRNA-Gln
Rfam family: tRNA
About the family: Transfer RNA (tRNA) molecules are approximately 80 nucleotides in length. Their secondary structure includes four short double-helical elements and three loops (D, anti-codon, and T loops).
Source: RNAcentral
UGGGGUGUAGCCAAGCGGUAAGGCACCGGAUUUUGAUUCCGGCAUGCGCAGGUUCGAAUCCUGCCACCCCAGCCA